GACAAACCCCAGGGUGCAAUUUACUAUUUUGGUUUCCUGCAUGAAUUCCAGGAAUUGUCUUGUUAACCUUUAGAUCAGCAGUCAGUGGCAGAAGAAAUCUGAUCGAGCAGUUCCGUACACAGGGUAAUGGCUCUUUCUUUCUCAUCCCCAGGCCAGUUAGUCUCUUAAUGGACACAGCAGCAGUGUAAUAGAAUUCUUAGAUAUUUAUUUUAUGAUAUAAUCUUCUGUGUGAAUAGUGCUGAUCUAGAUUAUGACUUGGCCUAUUUUAAGAGAAGUUUCAAUAGCAUGUGGCUUGGCUCACCUUAGUUUUUUAAACAGUAUAAAAAAAUAUACGAGGAGUUAAGUUAAUCGAGAGAACAGUCCAUCAUAUAUCAGGAAUUAUUAUUGGAAAAAAUAAUAUGAAGGACACAGAGAGGCAGAAAGAGAGAGAGAGAAAAGGAGAUAUGGGCAGAGAGAGAGAGUAAACCAAUGACUGUCCCAAGCCAUUAGAAUGAGGGAUAUUUCAGCUUGACUGAGCAAUUCAUUCUCAGCAUGUCACAUUGAAUUUUCUCAAUUCUAACAGCCCCCGCACUCCUCACUUUUUCCUAUCCUUUCAGAUGCUAAAAUAUUGCUUCCUAACAGUUAUUCCAUCUAAAUUAUGUUCACACACUUUCCAAAAAUUGUGAAAUCUGCUUGUUUGGAUUGUUAAUCACAGUGAACAUUAAUAUUCAGUAAAUUAAGUUUUAAUUAAUCAAAGAACAUUUCAAAUAUAUGUAAACCAUAUCUUUAAUAGGUUAAUGUUUAAUACAUGAAGGAAUGGAAGGUUUAGAGGAGCAUGUUCAUCUCAUCCUGCCAAUCACAACCCAAAGGGUUACAUCACUGACCAAUGGCUGCACUGAUGAAAGCAAAUGUAUCAGACUCUUUUUCUGAUGGGCUUUUGGACACGUGAGACCAGCUGAACAUUUUAUUCAAUAACAAUUCGACUUUAUUGCAUUACAAAGGGGGGAGAGAUCAAAGCCCUCAGUGUCUGAUAAUGAAGACUGAAGGCCAAGGAAAUCGCACUGCCCAAGAAUAUCACCCCUCUAUAUGAAUCUAUGUAUAAUUGGAGGGGAAAAAGCUUGAUAUCUAAGAGGACUGCAGCUGAAUCUUGAGUGUAUCUUUUCUAUACACAACGGAGCAAAGCUGAUUUGUCAGUUUGCCAAGGUCACAGGAGAAGACGCUCUUCUUUAGAUUCAUAGCAGAGAAUAAUUUGGAGCUCUGGGUGGAAAAGUAAUGCUGUGGGUCACAUGUUUGAGACCCAGAAGACAAGAGUCACACAUAACAAAUGCAA
Molecule: long non-coding RNA, 1309 nt
Organism: Cyprinus carpio (common carp)
Lineage: Eukaryota; Metazoa; Chordata; Actinopteri; Cypriniformes; Cyprinidae
Source: Ensembl